This is a long non-coding RNA of Pygocentrus nattereri (red-bellied piranha), 598 nucleotides long. RefSeq lists it as uncharacterized. The record is from RefSeq and is a predicted model, not a curated record. NCBI's taxonomy places the organism in Eukaryota, Metazoa, Chordata, Actinopteri, Characiformes, Serrasalmidae. The transcript is spliced from 3 exons.
AGGAGAGCGGAUGAGCGAGGGAUGGCGGGCAGAGCGUAGGAGGGCAGGUGAAUAUACGCAUAUUACAGUGCACGCUUUAGCCGUGAGCUGCUGAGGACCGUGUGCCUCAUAGACACAGUGACACGGAGCCGUUUUUAGCCUGGAGGACAUGCCGAGAGAGAUAUUCCGCCUCGAACUGACUUCCAGACUCAAAAGUUCGACGGAUCAACGCUAUACAAGGGCUGCUCGGAUGAGGAACGGGGGAAGCAAUAAAGAGAGCACUUAUAAAGACGGAAAUAAAGAGAGAGGCGUAAAGAGCGGGAUGGAGUCGGCCGCAAUAAACAGAACGAGGGAUCCCGGCUGAGGGAAGAAAAGAAAGGAAGUGUUUUCUCCAGUGUCCUGCCUCAAUGGCUACUGUCCCGUUGCCCUCACUCCCAUCCUCAUGAAGUGCUUGGAGAGGCUUGUCAUGAGGCACAUUAAAGACCAGCUUCCUCCUUCACUGGCCCCACUGCAAUUUGCAUAUCGCCCCAACCGAUCAACAGAUGACACCACCUCCACCACACUCCACCUGGCUCUCACCCACCUGGACAAUGAGGACACCUACGUCAGAAUGCUGUUC